UGCUCCUUGCAGGUUUUCACACACCGAUGCUCAAAAGAGGGAUGCAGGAAGAAGGAGAUGCUCCCGCUGGCUUGUUCACAAUGCCAUGGCAACUUCUGCAUUCAACACAGGCAUCCUCUGGACCACAACUGCCAAGCUGGGAGCAGCUCGGCCAGCAGUGGGAGGUCUUCAGCAUCCAGAGCUCCUGAGCAGAAGCCAUCGGGAAUCAGUUGGCUGGCCCAGCAACUCAGACGGACCGUGAAGUGACAGUGAGGCUCCUGUCUGGGCUGAACACCAGCUCCUUUCUCUGUUGGGUUUUAACCUUGGUGAUGUGGUCUCCAGCACUUUCCUGGUUCUCCUGUUACACUGAGUCUUUAUGAAAACGUCUCCCAUUGACUGUUGAAGUUAGGGCAGGAAGAUGGCUCAAAGCAUGAGGACCUAGUUUAUUCCAUGAAUCCAUGCUUUUAAAAAAGCCAGAUGUGGGGUUGGUGCACACUUGUAAUCCCAACACUUGGGACUCUGACCAGCAGCGUAGCCUAAUUGGAGAGUUCUUACCAGCAGAGAGAGAGGCCAGCAUACCUCCUUGAGAAACAAGGUGGACACUUCCUGGGGAGGGACAUCAGCAAUUAUUACCUCCAGCUUCACACACACAUAUGUGCACCCACAUGUGUACACACACACACACACACACACACACACAGACAGCACAAAUUAUUUAACAAAAUAAAUGAGGCUGUUCAGCACUUGGAGGUGUAUUAGGUUACCACAGCAAGCUGCUGAGCUCGGGAGCUACCAACCUGUGUAAACCUCAUAAGCCGUGGCUUUGGCUUGUGCUAAACCAUUCCAGGACUUGGUGUUCUGGGAAAUUCUGUCCUGUAACAGAAAAGACCUGCCGAUGGCUCUACA
This is a long non-coding RNA of Phodopus roborovskii (desert hamster), 885 nucleotides long. RefSeq lists it as uncharacterized. Lineage: Eukaryota; Metazoa; Chordata; Mammalia; Rodentia; Cricetidae. The record is from RefSeq and is a predicted model, not a curated record. The transcript is spliced from 3 exons.